Long non-coding RNA from Labeo rohita (rohu), 2453 nucleotides. RefSeq lists it as uncharacterized. The record is from RefSeq and is a predicted model, not a curated record. The transcript has 3 exons. Lineage: Eukaryota; Metazoa; Chordata; Actinopteri; Cypriniformes; Cyprinidae.
UCCACCUGAAGAUCAGGAAGUCAGUAAAGUAUCAGCGCACUGACCAACAUUUGUUCUUAUGAACUCAGUAGUGUGCAACAGUAAGCUUAAACUAUCCCAAAAAUCCUUUCAAAACCGACUGUCAGUUUAUUGUUUGUCUGCCGAGGUGUCUCCAAGAGUCCACCGAAGCAAUAAGAAAUCCCAUCUCGUCAAAGGCGGCUCUGUUGCGCUUCAGUAAUGUCUCCUGUGGUUUUUUGUUCUCGGCUGUUGUUCCUCCUCAGUUGUUACACCGCUGGAAGAAAAGCUGAGGCUGGCAAACAUUUCCCCGGCUCAUCGCCGCAAACAAGCUUCUGGAAACAUCUAAGACCCAAUAUCUGACUAAGCGCUUCUCCGAUCUCCGUCUGUUGGCGGCUUUAUUCACUUGCGAGCUCACAUCCAUCAGAGGACGAGAAGAUUAAAGUCCUCGCUCACAUUUUCGGGCCCGAUCCCAUUUCAUGCCAAAGAUAGAAUUCCAAGUUAAUUACCGAUGUUUUCCAUCAAGACGUUUUUGCUAACUGACAGUCUAAAAAUCACUGUCAGCGUGAAACGCUGUCCUGGAUUAUUUCCAUAUGAAUCAGGGUAUUUAAUCAAGAAAAACAUUUAACUUUUGUUCUGUUAGUAAUUGAUUGGGUGGUGAAAACUGGGCAUUAUGUACCAGGAUGGAUGCGGGGAUUGGUGACGUCAACCGAAGAGCACAGAAUGUUUCAGAAUGAGUUAUUACAUAUUGAUUAUGUGUUAAAUAAAAUAUAAAGAUCCAUUUUUUUAUGCAGGUUUCAAGAAGUGUUAAAGUCAGCAGAUCUAUUUGUUAUAAUAUGUUCUAUUUGUAAUCCAUUAUUCAUGGAUUUUAUUUUUGUGUCUUUCUGUCCAUCUACAAAAAAAGUGACUGUCUGAAAAAGUAUCUCUCUGUCUAUCUGGAAAAAAAUGAUGUCUGUAUCUCCAUCUGUCCAAAAAGUAUCUGUCUGUCCAUCUAUCUAUCUGUCCGUCUGUCUGUCUCCAUCUUUCUAUCCGUCUGUCCGUCCAUCUGUCUGUCUGCCUUUCCCUCAGUCUUGUCUAUCUGUAUCUGUCUGUCUGCCUCCCUGUCUGUCUAUCAUCUGUCAAUUUAUCUAUCCAUCCGUCUUUCCUUCUAUCUGUAUCCAUCCGUCCAUCUAUCUGUCCCUCCGUCUAUUUGUCUGUCCGUCCGUCUGUCUGCCUUUCCAUCGGUCUUGUCUAUUUGCAUCCUUGUAUCCGUCCGUCUGUCUCUCCGUCUGUCUAUCAGUAUAUUCAUCUGUCUGUCUAUCUGUCUGUCCCAUCUAUCUAUGCGUCCAUCUGUCUGUCUAUCUGCUUCUCCGGCUGUCUAUCUAUCUGUCUCUCUGUCCAUCUGUCUAUCCAUCUGUCCAUCCGUCUGUCUAUCUGUCCAUCUGUCUGUCUAUCCAUCUGUUUGUCCAUCUAUCUAUAUGUAUGUCUGUCUGUCUGUCCGUCCGUUCAUCUGUCAGUCUGUAUCUCUGUCAGUCUAUCUAUCCAGCUGUCCAUCUAUCUGUCUUUCUGUCCGUCUGUCUAUCUGCCUGUCUGUAUAAAAAAGUAUCUCUCUGUUAAUUUGUCUCUGUCCAUCUGGAAAAAAAAAAAAAUCUGUCUGUAUCUCUGCCUGUCCAAAUACUAUCUGCCUAAAAUAAUUUGUCUUUCUGUCUCUCCAUCUGCAUAAAAAACUAUUUGUUUGUCUGUCUGUCUGUCUGUCCAAAAAGUAUCUGUUUGUCCAUGGGUCUCUUUGUCCAUCUGAAAAAAAGUGUCUGUCUGAGAUAAUUUUGUCUGAAAAAGUAUGUUCGUCUCUCCAUCUGUCUAUGUCCAUCUGUCUCUUUGUGCAUCUGAGAAAAAAAAAUGUCUGUCUUACUGUCUAAAAUGUAUCUGUCUGAAAAAAAAAAAAGGUCUCUCUGAAAAAAGUAUGUCCAUCUGAAAAGGUGUCUGUCUGUCGGUCAGUCUAUCUAUCCAUUUGUCUGAGUAGAAUGUGUCUGCCUGUGUUUGUUUGUCCACAUGAAAAUCUGUCUGUAGGAAGUGCCUGAUUGUUUUUCUCCGACUGUCUGAAAAAAUAUCUGCCUUUCUGUCUGUCUGUAGAAGUGCAGUGAAGUGUCUAUUCAUCUGUCCAAAAAAACCCCACCUGUCUGUCUUUAAAAAUAAAGUUUGUUGCUGUCUGUCUGUCUGAAAAGUAUUGUCUUCCAGUUGCAAUGCAUCAUGGGAGUGGCCAGUUACUUGAGUGACUGAUUGGUGGAUCUGUCUUCGGGAUUAUGGUGUGGAGAGGAAAGUGCAGUAACAGCACCAUCUGUUUGGGUGUUCAGUGCUCAGGUUUGUCAUUUCUCAUCGAGCGUCAAACGGUGAUUAGCAUACAGUGAUGUUACGAUCAGGAUCCUGCGGUUUCAGCUGGGAAACCCUGUGGCGGCGCUAAAGGUCACAUGACCAUCAGUCUC